CAAGACAUUAACCACUAUCUUUGUAGCAAGCUGUAAACAGGAACGCAAGUAACCGAGGAACGCCGUUUUAAGCAGGCUGUUUUAGCCGUUUAUCAAGAGUAACACCGCUCACUGUUCAAGAAAAAUGGAAGACGACACACUAACGACGCUGAAAAUACUGAUAAUAGGGGAAAGUGGUGUUGGGAAGUCAAGCCUUCUUUUGAGAUUCACAGAUGACACAUUUGACCCAGAGCAAACGGCAACAAUAGGUCAGGGCAUGGAUCUCUGCUGGGAGCUUUUGCCAAAGAGAUGUCUUUAUUGGAGCUACGCCUCCAUCGUUGACUGAAGUUCCUUUAUUCAGACAGAAAUGUAAUCCGCCAUCACUCCAUCUCGAUUAUUGCAAUUUUCAUCCCUGCCACACCUAAACUGUGUAACCGAGUAACAGUGUCCCA
Notothenia coriiceps (black rockcod) is the source of this 431-nucleotide long non-coding RNA. RefSeq lists it as uncharacterized. The transcript is spliced from 3 exons. The record is from RefSeq and is a predicted model, not a curated record. Lineage: Eukaryota; Metazoa; Chordata; Actinopteri; Perciformes; Nototheniidae.